RNAcentral lists this ribosomal RNA (460 nucleotides) under uncultured bacterium. Its description in RNAcentral is "partial 16S ribosomal RNA". It matches the Rfam family "Bacterial small subunit ribosomal RNA", at positions 338 to 795 of the family's 1533-position model. The record is from RNAcentral.
CCUACGGGAGGCUGCAGUGAGGAAUAUUGGUCAAUGGACGAGAGUCUGAACCAGCCAAGUAGCGUGAAGGAUGACUGCCCUAUGGGUUGUAAACUUCUUUUAUAUGGGAAUAAAAUGUUCCACGUGUGUGAUUUUGUAUGUACCAUAUGAAUAAGGAUCGGCUAACUCCGUGCCAGCAGCCGCGGUAAUACGGAGGAUCCGAGCGUUAUCCGGAUUUAUUUGGUUUAAAGGGAGCGUAGGUGGAUUGUUAAGUCAGUUGUGAAAGUUUGCGGCUCAACCGUAAAAUUGCAGUUGAAACUGGCAGUCUUGAGUACAGGAGAGGUGGGCGGAAUUCGAGGUGUAGCGGUGAAAUGCUUAGAUAUCACGAAGAACUCCGAUUGCGAAGGCAGCGCACUGGACUGCAACUGACACUGAGGCUCGAAAGUGUGGGUAUCAAACAGGAUUAGAUACCCGGGUAGUC